This 63-nucleotide transfer RNA is filed under the name Paramphistomum cervi. RNAcentral describes it as "tRNA-Pro". The record is from RNAcentral. Lineage: Eukaryota; Metazoa; Platyhelminthes; Trematoda; Plagiorchiida; Paramphistomidae.
CAAUUCAUAGUUUAUGUAGAAUGCGGGUUUUGGGGAUCUGUGGUCUCUUUUGGAGUGAAUUGA